GGGCGCAUAGCUCAGCUGGGAGAGCACUUGCCUUACAAGCAAGGGGUCAUAGGUUCAAGUCCUAUUGCGCCCACCA
This 76-nucleotide transfer RNA is filed under the name Clostridiales bacterium. RNAcentral's name for it is "tRNA-Val". It matches the Rfam family "tRNA". Rfam says of the family: Transfer RNA (tRNA) molecules are approximately 80 nucleotides in length. Their secondary structure includes four short double-helical elements and three loops (D, anti-codon, and T loops). RNAcentral also lists the same sequence under 1 other name. The record is from RNAcentral. Lineage: Bacteria; Bacillati; Bacillota; Clostridia; Eubacteriales.